RNAcentral lists this ribosomal RNA (252 nucleotides) under uncultured bacterium. Its description in RNAcentral is "partial 16S ribosomal RNA". It matches the Rfam family "Bacterial small subunit ribosomal RNA", at positions 524 to 776 of the family's 1533-position model. The record is from RNAcentral.
UACGUAGGGUGCGAGCGUUAAUCGGAAUUACUGGGGUAAAGAGCGGUUAGGGGGCCACGCAGGGUCGGUGUGAAAACUGGAGGCUCAACCUUCAGACGUCGACGGAAACCGUGUGGCUAGAGUCCGGAAGAGGAGAGUGGAAUUCCUGGUGUAGCGGUGAAAUGCGCAGAUAUCAGGAAGAACACCAAUGGCGAAGGCAGCUCUCUGGGACGGUACUGACGCUGAGACGCGAAAGCGUGGGGAGCGAACAGG